RNAcentral lists this ribosomal RNA (397 nucleotides) under Botuliformidae sp. RNAcentral's name for it is "partial small subunit ribosomal RNA". It matches the Rfam family "Eukaryotic small subunit ribosomal RNA", at positions 582 to 975 of the family's 1831-position model. Lineage: Eukaryota; Cercozoa; Thecofilosea. The record is from RNAcentral.
AUUCCAGCUCCAAUAGCGUAUAUUAAAGUUGUUGCAGUUAAAAAGCUCGUAGUUGGAUUUCUGGUUUGAUGCCCUGGCCCGCUUCAAAUUUUGGAGUGUGUGCCGGCUGUGCGUCUGCCAUCCUUCUAGAAAACGUUCGUACCCUUCACUGGGCCGCGUUCGAGAUCUAGAUCUUUUACUUUGAAAAAAUUAGAGUGUUUAAAGCAGGCAGUUGCUAUGAAUACAUUAGCAUGGAAUAAUAAUCUAGGACUUCGGUUCUAUUUUGUUGGUUUCUAGUACUGAAGUAAUGAUUAAUAGGGACAGUUGGGGGUAUUCGUAUUCAAUUGUCAGAGGUGAAAUUCUUGGAUUUAUAGAAGACGAACUACUGCGAAAGCAUUUACCAAGGAUGUUUUCAUUG